This 472-nucleotide ribosomal RNA is filed under the name uncultured bacterium. RNAcentral describes it as "SSU rRNA". It matches the Rfam family "Bacterial small subunit ribosomal RNA", at positions 26 to 518 of the family's 1533-position model. The record is from RNAcentral.
AGGAUGAACGCUGGCGGCGUGCCUAACACAUGCAAGUCGAACGUCCUGUCUCGCAAGAGGCAGGGAGUGGCGGACGGGUGAGUACCACGUGGGUUAUCUACCGUGAGGUGAGGAAUACCGGCGAGAAAUCGCCGACAAGACCGCAUAGGCUCGAUGCAAGUCGAGCAAAGCUCUUUCGAGAGAGGGAGCGCCACACGAGGAGCCUGCGCCCGAUUAGCUAGCUGGUGGAGUAACGGUUCACCAGGGCGACGAUCGGUAGCUGGUCUGAGAGGACGAUCAGCCACACUGGGAUUGAGAACGGCCCAGACUCCUACGGGGGGCAGCAGUGAGGAAUUUUCGCAAUGGGGCAACCCUGAACGAGCAACGCCGCGUGCAGGAGAAGGUUUUCGGAUCGUAAACUGCUUUUCGUCGGGGACGAGCAAGGACGGUACCCGAGGAACGAAGCCCCGGCUAACUACGUGCCAGCAGCCGC